CCUAUCUGUCGUGGGCGCAGGAAAUUUGAGAGGAGCUGUCCUUAGUACGAGAGGACCGGGAUGGACGCACCGCUGGUGCACCAGUUGUUCCGCCAGGAGCACAGCUGGGUAGCUAUGUGCGGUCGGGAUAAGCGCUGAAAGCAUCUAAGCGUGAAGCCCCCCUCAAGAUGAGAUUUCCCACAGCAUAAGCUGGUAAGACCCCUUAAAGAUGAUGAGGUAGAUAGGUUCGGGGUGGAAGCGUGGCAACACGCGGAGCUGACGAAUACUAAUCGGUCGAGGGCUUAACCA
RNAcentral lists this ribosomal RNA (288 nucleotides) under Aneurinibacillus migulanus. RNAcentral describes it as "23S rRNA. Bacterial LSU". It matches the Rfam family "Bacterial large subunit ribosomal RNA", at positions 2637 to 2925 of the family's 2925-position model. The record is from RNAcentral. Lineage: Bacteria; Bacillati; Bacillota; Bacilli; Caryophanales; Paenibacillaceae.